RNAcentral lists this unclassified non-coding RNA (335 nucleotides) under soil metagenome. RNAcentral's name for it is "partial contains 5.8S ribosomal RNA, internal transcribed spacer 2, and large subunit ribosomal RNA". The stretch from base 1 to 120 matches the Rfam family "5.8S ribosomal RNA", at positions 35 to 154 of the family's 154-position model. The record is from RNAcentral.
GAUGAAGAACGUAGCGAAAUGCGAUAAGUAAUGUGAAUUGCAGAAUUCAGUGAAUCAUCGAAUCUUUGAACGCACAUUGCGCCCAUUAGCAUUCUAGUGGGCAUGCCUGUUCGAGCGUCAUUUCAACCCUUAAGCCCUGUUGCUUAGCGUUGGGAGCCUACAGUACUGUAGCUCCCCAAAGUUAGUGGCGGAGUCGGUUUCACACUCUAGACGUAGUAAUUUUUUCUCGUCUGUAGUUGAGCCGGUCCCCUGCCGUAAAACACCCAAUUUAUCACGGUUGACCUCGGAUCAGGUAGGAAUACCCGCUGAACUUAAGCAUAUCAAUAAGCGGAGGA